CGUCAAUCCAAAAUCAAGCUUCGACGAAAUAAAUACGCACGCAACUUUUUUUAAAUAGGCUCGUUUGCUUUCUGUUGGAAUGGGAAAGAGAAAAAUGGCGAGAAGGAAAAAUUAUUUUCUCUUCCUUUAUAUUAGAAUAACAAAGAGAUGGAAAAGUUUUGAGCCUAAAAUUAAGCAGAUAAAUAAGAAAAAGGAGAAAAAAUGAUUAUUCAUAAUGGGUCAUUAUUGUUCUCUCCAAAAGUACAGAAAAAAAAAGGGGGGAAAAUUAUUUUACCAAACAUCAUGCACGUGAGAAAAUUAUUACUAUUUUUUCUUUUCUUUUCUCCCGUUUUCUCUUUUCACUCUCAUUUGGGUCUUCUAAAAAAAUUCUAGAGGAAUAUAUUGGAUACGCUGUUCUUUAAAACAAACUUACAGUAUCAAUUGUUUGACAAUAAUUAAUACUAGUAGAUUUACAAAUAAACUAGCAAUCAUUAUUUCUUUAAGAUUGACACUAGCAAAUUCCUCCACUUAAAAGAUUAAAAUAACAUGGUCGUCCCACUUUAUUUGAGUCUCGCUAUUAUUUACUGAUGCUUACACAAUAAUUAAUCCUACACAUUCAUUUUUUUCGCGAUUAAUUUUCUCGUGCUAAAGGUCAUGCAACUGUUGUUCGCCAACUCAAAUGACAGGGAUAAAUAUCAAUUACC
RNAcentral lists this long non-coding RNA (683 nucleotides) under Ananas comosus (pineapple). Its description in RNAcentral is "long non-coding RNA (ACOM_LNC043960)". The record is from RNAcentral. Lineage: Eukaryota; Viridiplantae; Streptophyta; Magnoliopsida; Poales; Bromeliaceae.